RNAcentral lists this ribosomal RNA (495 nucleotides) under uncultured bacterium. RNAcentral's name for it is "partial 16S ribosomal RNA". It matches the Rfam family "Bacterial small subunit ribosomal RNA", at positions 28 to 507 of the family's 1533-position model. The record is from RNAcentral.
GACGAACGCUGGCGGCGUGCCUAAUACAUGCAAGUAGAACGCUGAAGGAGGAGCUUGCUCUUCUGGAUGAGUUGCGAACGGGUGAGUAACGCGUAGGUAACCUGCCUGGUAGCGGGGGAUAACUAUUGGAAACGAUAGCUAAUACCGCAUAAGAGUAGAUGUUGCAUGACAUUUGCUUAAAAGGUGCAAUUGCAUCACUACCAGAUGGACCUGCGUUGUAUUAGCUAGUUGGUGGGGUAACGGCUCACCAAGGCGACGAUACAUAGCCGACCUGAGAGGGUGAUCGGCCACACUGGGACUGAGACACGGCCCAGACUCCUACGGGAGGCAGCAGUAGGGAAUCGUCGGCAAUGGACGGAAGUCUGACCGAGCAACGCCGCGUGAGUGAAGAAGGUUGUCGGAUCGUAAAGCUCGGUUGUAAGAGAAGAACGAGUGUGAGAGUGGAAAGUUCACACUGUGACGGUAGCUGACCAGAAAGGGACGGCUAACUACGUG